GGAACCAGAUUGUGUAAAUCGCUCAUGUCUUACCAGGAUAUCUUUAAAUCGUUUGCUACAUCUCGAGUUGUGAGCGGAUAAGUCGUAAAUCGCCCAGGCUGUGAACGAUUUAGGUUGCAAGUCGCAGAAGGCUUGAUCGGAGUUCUCCUUCAUCGCUUGACAAAUCGCACAAGUUGUGACCGGAGAUUGGUAAAUCACUCAGGCUAAAUCGCUCAAGGUCGUGACCGGAGGUUGGUAAAUCGGACAGAGCUUAACCGGUUUUCUCAGGUGCAAGCUGCAAACUGUGGAGGAGACACUUCGCUAGGCCAGUGUCAACCUCAGGAUUACAAGCAAACAGUUCAAGGGUGUCUAAGAGCAAAGAACAUUCGGGCAUGUUAUCCUAGUAAAAUUGGUGAAUAAUAUCAAGAACGCGUGGAAAACAACACAGACUCUCGAGAAGCCUUGGAUCAUUAUCAAAUUGCUGAAUGAGAAACAUGGCUGAUAAAGUGUCCAUAUUAAGCUGUUGGUAACCCACUGAUUGCAAUAAAAACCCAAGAACCGAAAAUCCAGAAAGAUUAAGCAUCUGUUGUGGAUUAGGCAGGUUCUCAUCUAGAAUAGCGGUGAUAAGCUCAAUGAUUUCAGCAGUUAAGCGCUCUUUGUUAUAGGUGUAAGCAAAUUGUAUCCAAGUUGUUGACUGUCAUUCUCAAAGAUGCCAGGUUUAAGAAGAUUAUUUGGCUUCACAGAUCUAAUAUAGUGAGAUUCUGUGGAAUUUAGAGUCUCCAUUAAUUGCUGAAGUUGUAGCUUGAAGC
This is a long non-coding RNA of Cynara cardunculus var. scolymus (artichoke), 788 nucleotides long. RefSeq lists it as uncharacterized. The record is from RefSeq and is a predicted model, not a curated record. NCBI's taxonomy places the organism in Eukaryota, Viridiplantae, Streptophyta, Magnoliopsida, Asterales, Asteraceae. The transcript is spliced from 3 exons.